GCGAAAAAGUGACAAAAGUUUUCCGUCGCACUCGCUCUCGAAGCCGCGCGCUGUGAGUGAGAGCGACGCAAAACUUGGCAGGAUCUUCCUGCUUUCAUUGCAUUCAGGAUAAUAAUAAUUAACCAUAGAUCAUCGAGAAAUUCAUAAAAAGAACUUCAAAAUUAACUGUCAAACCUGGCGACAGCCCAAGUGCCAUACAAAACAAGAAUUGACUAACUUGAAUAAUGAAAUAAUGGGAAACCCCUAGUGCUAUCAACAAAAUACUAACAAACCUUUCGGUCCAGUGCAAAUUUUCAGCCACAGUAUGUUUUAGUCCAUGGAUACUGGUCUCAUUGCAGAACCUGACGUAGACUUCCUUCACGGAAACCAUGGCAUCCCUCAUGAAAAAUAUCUUUGACUUCAUCCAGGCUCGCUUACUUAACUUGGCGGUCGUAGCGGUUCUAUCAGGCUGUUACCUCGCCUACGAAUAUCGGGACCGCAUAUUCAAACAAAAGAAACCAUUAACAGCCGUGGAGAGUGAAGACAGUGAGGACACGCUGGCCCGGGGCGGCGGCAGGUCCAGGCCUCGGUCUAGAUCCAGGUCUUUCGAAGCAAACACUAAACGCAGGGGCGGCCAAAAAAAGUGCAGGCGCUGUCCAGAGUGUGGUCUGUGCAAUGAGGCAUAAAAGAGUUGAAAAAUAAUGACAGAUUGAGAAAAAACUUAAAAAAAGUGAAACUGGAUGUGAUUAUUAAACUGAAAAAUAAAUAAAAAUCCAAAGUGAAUUCACAAACA
Molecule: non-coding RNA, 772 nt
Organism: Plutella xylostella (diamondback moth)
Lineage: Eukaryota; Metazoa; Arthropoda; Insecta; Lepidoptera; Plutellidae
Source: RefSeq, a predicted model, not a curated record